Limulus polyphemus (Atlantic horseshoe crab) is the source of this 673-nucleotide long non-coding RNA. RefSeq lists it as uncharacterized. The transcript is spliced from 2 exons. The record is from RefSeq and is a predicted model, not a curated record. NCBI's taxonomy places the organism in Eukaryota, Metazoa, Arthropoda, Merostomata, Xiphosura, Limulidae.
AAUUUUUAAUUCAGUCAACUCAAUGGCCUCGAAAAAGUUAAUUCUACAUGUUUUAUCAUUUCAUCACUCCUGAUCAUGAUGUUGAAACUUGUAGAGUCAACUUUUUGGAGGCCGUAGAUUGGCCUGAAUUGAUAAUGUUUUUAAUUGUGUACCCAUUUCAACAAAUGCAUUAUUUAUUAUUUUAAUAAAUUGGUUUGUUUUACCUGUGUGUGUGAGUUGCUGUAUUUGAGAAAAUGAAAUAACCCUUAUCAGAAACUAUAUAUAUAGUGGUGAAGUCUUGUGCCCAUCACACUCAGAGGCAGCUAAUUCAAGUUUCGUGUCUCCUGGUUUCCAAGAUCUAAGAAAACUGACUCCAGAUCUCAGUGUUUCUACAAAUAAGGAGAUUCAAACUGUCUCUAACUGUAACUCACGACAAGACUCUGCGAAGGUGGAUACCUGUGUAGCAGAGCUACGUAAUGUUGUGGGAGAGUCUCUACCACAUGAAGAGUUAUUACGCAUUUCCCAGGUGGCUAGCUGUGAUGUCAACCAUGCUCUUGAUAUGCUUUUCUGCUGAAUCUGACAGUUUUAAACAUUUUGUCAUUUGGCUGAGUUUUUUAAGACAAUGCUGUAUUUAUUAGGUAUUUCAUUAGAGUGGUCCACUGUAUCUAAGUGAAAAGAAACAGUUCAAAGUUCA